AUUGAACGCUGGCGGCAGGCCUAACACAUGCAAGUCGAACGGUAACAGGAAGCAGCUUGCUGCUUUGCUGACGAGUGGCGGACGGGUGAGUAAUGUCUGGGAAACUGCCUGAUGGAGGGGGAUAACUACUGGAAACGGUAGCUAAUACCGCAUAACGUCGCAAGACCAAAGAGGGGGACCUUCGGUCCUCUUGCCAUCGGAUGUGCCCAGAUGGGAUUAGCUAGUAGGUGGGGUAACGGCUCACCUAGGCGACGAUCCCUAGCUGGUCUGAGAGGAUGACCAGCCACACUGGAACUGAGACACGGUCCAGACUCCUACGGGAGGCAGCAGUGGGGAAUAUUGCACAAUGGGCGCAAGCCUGAUGCAGCCAUGCCGCGUGUAUGAAGAAGGCCUUCGGGUUGUAAAGUACUUUCAGCGGGGAGGAAGGGAGUAAAGUUAAUACCUUUGCUCAUUGACGUUACCCGCAGAAGAAGCACCGGCUAACUCCGUG
RNAcentral lists this ribosomal RNA (490 nucleotides) under uncultured bacterium. Its description in RNAcentral is "partial 16S ribosomal RNA". It matches the Rfam family "Bacterial small subunit ribosomal RNA", at positions 30 to 507 of the family's 1533-position model. The record is from RNAcentral.